Molecule: long non-coding RNA, 443 nt
Organism: Haliotis rubra (blacklip abalone)
Lineage: Eukaryota; Metazoa; Mollusca; Gastropoda; Lepetellida; Haliotidae
Exons: 3
Source: RefSeq, a predicted model, not a curated record
CAGAAAGAGGUAAGAUGAAUGUUCAAGGAAUAGAAUGUUUCAAACGAAAUGGAUGACUGAAUGCUUAUGACUGGAAUAUUUUCAAACAGUUUAACGCCAUGUUAUAGACGAAUCCCCGGUGUGAAUAAACAAUUCUCAUUGUUUCGUCUUAACAAUUAAAUUUCGUUUCGGACCUUAGCACGGCGCACACUUUUUAUCAUUUUUCACAUAAGUUAAGAAAGCAUGCAAGAGAUACGAACGAAGAUACUGGUUUGCAUUGCAUCUGAUUAGCGUUACCUACGUGCUGUACCGGGAGGCCAAACACCUGUGAAGAGAAGACUGGUCAAAUUUGAAGAUUUGACAAGUGGGUCAGGAUUACUUUCCACAGGAGGCCAAACACCUGUGAUGAGAAGAUUGGUCAAAUCUGAAGAUUUGUCAAGUGGGUCAGGAUUACUUUCCACAGG